CAAAAGCGUAUAUUAAAGUUGUUGCAGUUAAAAAGCUCGUAGUUGAACCUUGGGCUUGGCUGGCCGGUCCAUCUUUUUUGAUGCGUGCUGGACCCAGCCGAGCCUUUCCUUCUGGCUAGCCUUUUGGCGAACCAGGACUUUUACUUUGAAAAAAUUAGAGUGUUCAAAGCAGGCCUUUGCUCGAAUAUAUUAGCAUGGAAUAAUAGAAUAGGACGUUAUGGUUCUAUUUUGUUGGUUUCUAGGACCAUCGUAAUGAUUAAUAGGGACGGUCGGGGGUAUCAGUAUUCAGUUGUCAGAGGUGAAAUUCUUGGAUUUACUGAAGACUAACUACUGCGAAAGCAUUUACCAAGGACGUUUUCAUUAA
RNAcentral lists this ribosomal RNA (364 nucleotides) under uncultured eukaryote. Its description in RNAcentral is "partial 18S ribosomal RNA". It matches the Rfam family "Eukaryotic small subunit ribosomal RNA", at positions 592 to 976 of the family's 1831-position model. The record is from RNAcentral.